UCCCUGGUGGCUGAGAUGGUAAAGAAUCUGCCUGCAAUGCAGGAAAUCUUGGUUUGAUCCCUGGGUUGGGAA
RNAcentral lists this transfer RNA (72 nucleotides) under Ovis aries (sheep). It matches the Rfam family "tRNA". From Rfam's summary of the family: Transfer RNA (tRNA) molecules are approximately 80 nucleotides in length. Their secondary structure includes four short double-helical elements and three loops (D, anti-codon, and T loops). Further hydrogen bonds mediate the characteristic L-shaped molecular structure. tRNAs have two regions of fundamental functional importance: the anti-codon, which is responsible for specific mRNA codon recognition, and the 3' end, to which the tRNAs corresponding amino acid is attached (by aminoacyl-tRNA synthetases). tRNAs cope with the degeneracy of the genetic code in two manners: having more than one tRNA (with a specific anti-codon) for a particular amino acid; and 'wobble' base-pairing, i.e. permitting non-standard base-pairing at the 3rd anti-codon position. Lineage: Eukaryota; Metazoa; Chordata; Mammalia; Artiodactyla; Bovidae. The record is from Rfam by way of RNAcentral.